This 90-nucleotide small nucleolar RNA is filed under the name Helianthus annuus (common sunflower). RNAcentral describes it as "Plant small nucleolar RNA R71". It matches the Rfam family "Plant small nucleolar RNA R71". Rfam says of the family: R71 is a member of the C/D box family of snoRNAs containing the C (UGAUGA) and D (CUGA) box motifs. Multiple nearly identical copies of this snoRNA have been identified in Arabidopsis, and it is thought to function as a 2'-O-ribose methylation guide for 18S ribosomal RNA. Lineage: Eukaryota; Viridiplantae; Streptophyta; Magnoliopsida; Asterales; Asteraceae. The record is from RNAcentral.
AGACCAUGAUGAGGACAUUUCCUCAAUAGCUCCUUGAAUCUUUCCCAAGUUUCAUAUAAGGAUUCCCGUUCUCUUGUGAGUUGUGAGUAU